UGAGGAAUAUUGGUCAAUGGGCGAGAGCCUGAACCAGCCAAAUCGCGUGAAGGAAGACUGCCUUAUGGGUUGUAAACUUCUUUUAUACAGGAAUAAAAAAGGGGACGUGUCCCUUAUUGCAUGUACUGUAUGAAUAAGCAUCGGCUAACUCCGUGCCAGCAGCCGCGGUAAUACGGAGGAUGCGAGCGUUAUCCGGAUUUAUUGGGUUUAAAGGGUGCGCAGGCGGGCUUUUAAGUCAGCGGUGAAAUCUCGGGGCUUAACUCCGAAACUGCCGUUGAAACUGGGAGUCUUGAGUAUGGAUGAAGUAGGCGGAAUUCGUUGUGUAGCGGUGACAUGCUUAGAUAUAACGAGGAACUCCGAUUGCGUAGGCAGCUUACUAAGCCAUAACUGACGCUCAAGCACGAAAGCGUGGGGAUCAAAACAGGAUUAGAUACCCUGGUAGUCCACGCCGUAAACGAUGAUUACUAGUUGUAUGCGAUAUACCGUAUGUGACUAAGCGAAAGCGAUAAGUAAUCCACCUGGGGAGUACGCCGGCAACGGUGAAACUUAAAGGAAUUGACGGGGUCAUAGCUGUUUCCU
This 579-nucleotide ribosomal RNA is filed under the name uncultured bacterium. RNAcentral's name for it is "partial 16S ribosomal RNA". It matches the Rfam family "Bacterial small subunit ribosomal RNA", at positions 355 to 1375 of the family's 1533-position model. The record is from RNAcentral.